RNAcentral lists this ribosomal RNA (262 nucleotides) under Salmonella enterica subsp. enterica serovar Montevideo. RNAcentral describes it as "partial 23S ribosomal RNA". It matches the Rfam family "Bacterial large subunit ribosomal RNA", at positions 456 to 720 of the family's 2925-position model. Lineage: Bacteria; Pseudomonadati; Pseudomonadota; Gammaproteobacteria; Enterobacterales; Enterobacteriaceae. The record is from RNAcentral.
UCCUCCAAGGCUAAAUACUCCUGACUGACCGAUAGUGAACCAGUACCGUGAGGGAAAGGCGAAAAGAACCCCGGCGAGGGGAGUGAAAAAGAACCUGAAACCGUGUACGUACAAGCAGUGGGAGCACCCUUUGGGGUGUGACUGCGUACCUUUUGUAUAAUGGGUCAGCGACUUAUAUUCUGUAGCAAGGUUAACCGUAUAGGGGAGCCGGAGGGAAACCGAGUCUUAAUUGGGCGUUAAGUUGCAGGGUAUAGACCCGAAA